UGGGGAAUAUUGCACAAUGGGGGAAACCCUGAUGCAGCGACGCCGCGUGGAGGAAGAAGGUCUUCGGAUUGUAAACUCCUGUUGUUGGGGAAGAUAAUGACGGUACCCAACAAGGAAGUGACGGCUAACUACGUGCCAGCAGCCGCGGUAAAACGUAGGUCACAAGCGUUGUCCGGAAUUACUGGGUGUAAAGGGAGCGCAGGCGGGAAGACAAGUUGGAAGUGAAAUCUAUGGGCUCAACCCAUAAACUGCUUUCAAAACUGUUUUUCUUGAGUAGUGCAGAGGUAGGCGGAAUUCCCGGUGUAGCGGUGGAAUGCGUAGAUAUCGGGAGGAACACCAGUGGCGAAGGCGGCCUACUGGGCACCAACUGACGCUGAGGCUCGAAAGUGUGGGUAGCAAACAGGAUUAGAUACCCUGGUAGUCCACACCGUAAACGAUGAUUACUAGGUGUUGGAGGAUUGACCCCUUCAGUGCCGCAGUUAACACAAUAAGUAAUCCACCUGGGGAGUACGACCGCAAGGUUGAAACUCAAAGGAAUUGACGGGGGCCCGCACAAGCAGUGGAGUAUGUGGUUUAAUUCGACGCAACGCGAAGAACCUUACCAAGUCUUGACAUCCCUUGACAGACAUAGAAAUAUGUAUUCUCUUCGGAGCAAGGAGACAGGUGGUGCAUGGUUGUCGUCAGCUCGUGUCGUGAGAUGUUGGGUUAAGUCCCGCAACGAGCGCAACCCUUAUGGUCAGUUACUACGCAAGAGGACUCUGGCCAGACUGCCGUUGACAAAACGGAGGAAGGUGGGGAUGACGUCAAAUCAUCAUGCCCCUUAUGACCUGGGCUACACACGUACUACAAUGGCAAUAGAACAGAGGGAAGCGACUCAGCGAUGAGAAGCAGAUCCCGAAAAAUUGUCUCAGUUCGGAUUGCAGGCUGCAACUCGCCUGCACGAAGUCGGAAUUGCUAGUAAUCGUGGAUCAGCAUGCCACGGUGAAUACGUUCCC
This 995-nucleotide ribosomal RNA is filed under the name uncultured bacterium. RNAcentral's name for it is "bacterial SSU rRNA". It matches the Rfam family "Bacterial small subunit ribosomal RNA", at positions 355 to 1375 of the family's 1533-position model. The record is from RNAcentral.